GUGGGGAAUCUUCCGCAAUGGACGAAAGUCUGACGGAGCAACGCCGCGUGAGUGAUGAAGGUCUUCGGAUUGUAAAGCUCUGUUAAUCGGGACGAAAGAGCCUAGUGUGAAUAAUGCUAGGAAGUGACGGUACCGGAAUAGAAAGCCACGGCUAACUACGUGCCAGCAGCCGCGGUAAUACGUAGGUGGCAAGCGUUGUCCGGAAUUAUUGGGCGUAAAGUGCGCGCAGGCGGAUCUGCCAGUCUGUCUUAAAAGUUCGGGGCUUAACCCCGUGAUGGGAUGGAAACUACAGAUCUAGAGUAUCGGAGAGGAAAGUGGAAUUCCUAGUGUAGCGGUGAAAUGCGUAGAUAUUAGGAAGAACACCAGUGGCGAAGGCGACUUUCUGGACGAAAACUGACGCUGAGGCGCGAAAGCCAGGGGAGCGAACGGGAUUAGAAACCCGAGUAGUCC
RNAcentral lists this ribosomal RNA (450 nucleotides) under uncultured bacterium. Its description in RNAcentral is "partial 16S ribosomal RNA". It matches the Rfam family "Bacterial small subunit ribosomal RNA", at positions 354 to 796 of the family's 1533-position model. The record is from RNAcentral.